This 75-nucleotide transfer RNA is filed under the name Oecleopsis sinicus. Its description in RNAcentral is "tRNA-Ser". The record is from RNAcentral. Lineage: Eukaryota; Metazoa; Arthropoda; Insecta; Hemiptera; Cixiidae.
AAGUUAGUAAGCUAAAAGCUUUAUAUCUUGAAAAUAUAAAAUUAGAAAAUAAAUAUUCUACUAACUUAAAAAAUU